UCUCUGGGAUCCCAUCAUCAGAUCCUGGUUUCCUUAUCACGGUACUAAACUAGGGAUAUCUCCUUUUCAACAAAAAAAAGAAUUAUCAAAAUCGGUAUAUCCAGUGGAAAGUUAUGCGGUAUAAUACAACGUAGGUCGACGAAAAAAGCGUCAAGUAAAAACGCAUUAUUAGAUAUAACUCGAAAAGUAAUUGUUAGAUCUCAAAUAAAUUUAAACGGGACCAAUUGACACACACCACCUUUCGAUUA
This 248-nucleotide unclassified non-coding RNA is filed under the name Melitaea cinxia (Glanville fritillary). RNAcentral's name for it is "misc RNA ENSMCXG00005020519.1". The record is from RNAcentral. Lineage: Eukaryota; Metazoa; Arthropoda; Insecta; Lepidoptera; Nymphalidae.